This 231-nucleotide long non-coding RNA is filed under the name Elaeis guineensis (African oil palm). Its description in RNAcentral is "long non-coding RNA (EGUI_LNC012080)". Lineage: Eukaryota; Viridiplantae; Streptophyta; Magnoliopsida; Arecales; Arecaceae. The record is from RNAcentral.
AUAUUCGGAUUGAUUGAAUACGAAAAUAGUUUCGGACGAAUAAUAUCCAUACCACUUCACCCCUAUGUGGGAGGUCAUUGGAUGGUGGGUGGUCUAGUUUGGAACCCAGAAAAUAGAGCUGAUGCCACCUUCUAGAUUAUGACCUCAUUCAUGAUCACUUGUUCUUGGAUUCAAAUUGAGACAGCACUCUAUUGUCAUGCCAACCUCAAGCCACAAGCUGCCUCGAUGGAA